Molecule: unclassified non-coding RNA, 238 nt
Filed under: Hevea brasiliensis (rubber tree)
Lineage: Eukaryota; Viridiplantae; Streptophyta; Magnoliopsida; Malpighiales; Euphorbiaceae
Source: RNAcentral
UUUUUUUUUUAAAAAAAAUUUUGAUGUAGUGAUUAAAUACUGCAGAUUUCAUAGCAUAUCUCACAAUUUUAAUUAGUAGUAAUAAUAUAUGUAAAAAAUUCUAUUAGGACCAUAGUUGUUACUCUACUUAUUUGUAUGUGUCGGAUUAUUAUCUUCUUUUAGCAUGCAGCAUGGUUUUGGGAACUAUAUUUACAAGAUAAGAAAUUUGUGGCAGAGGUCUUCGUUUUAUGUGUUGUUU